This 446-nucleotide ribosomal RNA is filed under the name uncultured bacterium. Its description in RNAcentral is "partial 16S ribosomal RNA". It matches the Rfam family "Bacterial small subunit ribosomal RNA", at positions 338 to 795 of the family's 1533-position model. The record is from RNAcentral.
CCUACGGGCGGCAGCAGUCGAGAAUCAUUCACAAUGGGGGAAACCCUGAUGGUGCGACACCGCGUGGGGGAAUGAAGGUCUUCGGAUUGUAAACCCCUGUCAUGUGGGAGCAAAUUAAAAAGAUAGUACCACAAGAGGAAGAGACGGCUAACUCUGUGCCAGCAGCCGCGGUAAUACAGAGGUCUCAAGCGUUGUUCGGAAUCACUGGGCGUAAAGCGUGCGUAGGCUGUUUCGUAAGUCGUGUGUGAAAGGCGCGGGCUCAACCCGCGGACGGCACAUGAUACUGCGAGACUAGAGUAAUGGAGGGGGAACCGGAAUUCUCGGUGUAGCAGUGAAAUGCGGAGAUAUCGAGAGGAACACUCGUGGCGAAGGCGGGUUCCUGGACAUUAACUGACGCUGAGGCACGAAGGCCAGGGGAGCGAAAGGGAUUAGAUACCCCUGUAGUC